AUUACUGAGUUUACGCUCUAUAACCCUUUGUGAACAUACCUAUAACUGUUGCUUCGGCGGGCAGGGUCUCCGUGACCCUCCCGGCCUCCCGCCCCCGGGCGGGUCGGCGCCCGCCGGAGGAUAACCAAACUCUGAUUUAACGACGUUUCUUCUGAGUGGUACAAGCAAAUAAUCAAAACUUUUAACAACGGAUCUCUUGGUUCUGGCAUCGAUGAAGAACGCAGCGAAAUGCGAUAAGUAAUGUGAAUUGCAGAAUUCAGUGAAUCAUCGAAUCUUUGAACGCACAUUGCGCCCGCCAGCAUUCUGGCGGGCAUGCCUGUUCGAGCGUCAUUUCAACCCUCAAGCUCUGCUUGGUGUUGGGGCCCUACAGCUGAUGUAGGCCCUCAAAGGUAGUGGCGGACCCUCCCGGAGCCUCCUUUGCGUAGUAACUUUACGUCUCGCACUGGGAUCCGGAGGGACUCUUGCCGUAAAACCCCCCAAUUUUCCAAAGGUUGACCUCGGAUCAGGUAGGAAUACCCGCUGAACUUAAGCAUAUCAAUAAGCGGAGGAAAAGAAACCAACAGGGAUUGCCUCAGUAACGGCGAGUGAAGCGGCAACAGCUCAAAUUUGAAAUCUGGCCCUAGGCCCG
RNAcentral lists this ribosomal RNA (628 nucleotides) under fungal endophyte. Its description in RNAcentral is "eukaryotic LSU rRNA". The stretch from base 177 to 330 matches the Rfam family "5.8S ribosomal RNA". Lineage: Eukaryota; Fungi. The record is from RNAcentral.